Molecule: ribosomal RNA, 468 nt
Filed under: uncultured bacterium
Lineage: Bacteria
Description: partial 16S ribosomal RNA
Rfam family: Bacterial small subunit ribosomal RNA
Source: RNAcentral
GACGAACGCUGGCGGCGUGCUUAACACAUGCAAGUCGAACGGAAACGCCCUGCUUUUGUGGGGUGCUCGAGUGGCGAACGCGUGAGUAACACGUAUGUAACCUGCCCUUGUCUUUGGGGUAACUUCAGGAAGCUGGGGCUAAUCCCGGAUCGGAGCUCCUCCUGCAGUGUGGGGGUUGGAAAGUCUCGGCGGGUGGGGAUGGACUCGCGGCUUAUCAGCUUGUUGGUGGGGUAGUGGCGUACCAAGGCUUUGACGGGUAGCCGGCCUGAGAGGGUGACCGGCCACAGUGGGACUGAGAUAGGGCCCAGACGCCUACGGGAGGCAGCAGCGGAGAAUAGUGCACAAUGGGCGGAAGCCGGAUGGAGCAACGUCGCGUGGGGGAGGACGGCCUUCGGGUUGGAAACCGCUUUCGCCUGUGACGAGGCGUGAGUGACGGUAAUGGGUAAAGAAGAACCGGCUAACUACGUG